RNAcentral lists this ribosomal RNA (1551 nucleotides) under Salmonella enterica subsp. enterica serovar Worthington. RNAcentral describes it as "bacterial SSU rRNA". It matches the Rfam family "Bacterial small subunit ribosomal RNA". Lineage: Bacteria; Pseudomonadati; Pseudomonadota; Gammaproteobacteria; Enterobacterales; Enterobacteriaceae. The record is from RNAcentral.
AAAUUGAAGAGUUUGAUCAUGGCUCAGAUUGAACGCUGGCGGCAGGCCUAACACAUGCAAGUCGAACGGUAACAGGAAGCAGCUUGCUGCUUCGCUGACGAGUGGCGGACGGGUGAGUAAUGUCUGGGAAACUGCCUGAUGGAGGGGGAUAACUACUGGAAACGGUGGCUAAUACCGCAUAACGUCGCAAGACCAAAGAGGGGGACCUUCGGGCCUCUUGCCAUCAGAUGUGCCCAGAUGGGAUUAGCUUGUUGGUGAGGUAACGGCUCACCAAGGCGACGAUCCCUAGCUGGUCUGAGAGGAUGACCAGCCACACUGGAACUGAGACACGGUCCAGACUCCUACGGGAGGCAGCAGUGGGGAAUAUUGCACAAUGGGCGCAAGCCUGAUGCAGCCAUGCCGCGUGUAUGAAGAAGGCCUUCGGGUUGUAAAGUACUUUCAGCGGGGAGGAAGGUGUUGUGGUUAAUAACCACAGCAAUUGACGUUACCCGCAGAAGAAGCACCGGCUAACUCCGUGCCAGCAGCCGCGGUAAUACGGAGGGUGCAAGCGUUAAUCGGAAUUACUGGGCGUAAAGCGCACGCAGGCGGUCUGUCAAGUCGGAUGUGAAAUCCCCGGGCUCAACCUGGGAACUGCAUUCGAAACUGGCAGGCUUGAGUCUUGUAGAGGGGGGUAGAAUUCCGGUGUAGCGGUGAAAUGCGUAGAGAUCUGGAGGAAUACCGGUGGCGAAGGCGGCCCCCUGGACAAAGACUGACGCUCAGGUGCGAAAGCGUGGGGAGCAAACAGGAUUAGAUACCCUGGUAGUCCACGCCGUAAACGAUGUCUACUUGGAGGUUGUGCCCUUGAGGCGUGGCUUCCGGAGCUAACGCGUUAAGUAGACCGCCUGGGGAGUACGGCCGCAAGGUUAAAACUCAAAUGAAUUGACGGGGGCCCGCACAAGCGGUGGAGCAUGUGGUUUAAUUCGAUGCAACGCGAAGAACCUUACCUGGUCUUGACAUCCACGGAAGUUUUCAGAGAUGAGAAUGUGCCUUCGGGAACCGUGAGACAGGUGCUGCAUGGCUGUCGUCAGCUCGUGUUGUGAAAUGUUGGGUUAAGUCCCGCAACGAGCGCAACCCUUAUCCUUUGUUGCCAGCGGUUAGGCCGGGAACUCAAAGGAGACUGCCAGUGAUAAACUGGAGGAAGGUGGGGAUGACGUCAAGUCAUCAUGGCCCUUACGACCAGGGCUACACACGUGCUACAAUGGCGCAUACAAAGAGAAGCGACCUCGCGAGAGCAAGCGGACCUCAUAAAGUGCGUCGUAGUCCGGAUUGGAGUCUGCAACUCGACUCCAUGAAGUCGGAAUCGCUAGUAAUCGUGGAUCAGAAUGCCACGGUGAAUACGUUCCCGGGCCUUGUACACACCGCCCGUCACACCAUGGGAGUGGGUUGCAAAAGAAGUAGGUAGCUUAACCUUCGGGAGGGCGCUUACCACUUUGUGAUUCAUGACUGGGGUGAAGUCGUAACAAGGUAACCGUAGGGGAACCUGCGGUUGGAUCACCUCCUUACCUUAAAGAA